UACGUAGGGCGCAAGCGUUUGUCCGGAAUUAUUGGGCGUAAAGAGCUCGUAGGCGGUUUGUCGCGUCUGCUGUGAAAACCUAAGGCUCAACCUUGGGCUUGCAGUGGGUACGGGCAGACUAGAGUGCGGUAGGGGGUGACUGGAAUUCCGUGGUGUAGCGGUGGAAUGCGCAGAUAUCAGGAGGAACACCGAUGGGCGAAAGGCAGGUCACUGGGCCGGCAAC
Molecule: ribosomal RNA, 223 nt
Filed under: uncultured bacterium
Lineage: Bacteria
Description: partial 16S ribosomal RNA
Rfam family: Bacterial small subunit ribosomal RNA
Source: RNAcentral